Long non-coding RNA from Pistacia vera, 763 nucleotides. RefSeq lists it as uncharacterized. The record is from RefSeq and is a predicted model, not a curated record. Lineage: Eukaryota; Viridiplantae; Streptophyta; Magnoliopsida; Sapindales; Anacardiaceae. The transcript is spliced from 3 exons.
UUUCCGCCCAAAACACCAAAGUUCAUUGUCAAAACCCAUUUUCCCCCAAAUUUCGACCAAGUCAAACCUAGGGCAAGAAAAAAACUUCCGCCAAAAACCCAAAUCUCCUCCGCUAAAUCGCCCAAAUCUCUUCCAUCACUUGUUUCUUCAGUCCCCGGUAGCAAUAUGACUGGAAGAGAGAUUGACCGGGCUCUACUAGAAGCAGUUAUUAAUGACCCCAAUAUUUCUGUUUUUGAACACCACUUUGCGAUAGAUCUUGCAUUUUAUUUUGGCAACAGUUUCCAAACUAACUUCACAUCGUGUUCUGAUGCUUUACCUUUGUCACAAUAUCAGGUUAUACGAUUUAUUUCAAAGGCGACCUUACUAGCAUCAGGUGGGGCUGGGCAUAUCUAUCCGUCGACAACAAACCCUCCGUUAUCAAAGUGGCCACUGGAGAUGGAAUGGCUAUGGCCCACAGAGCUGAAGCGGUGAUUUCCAAUAUGGAGUCUGUUCAGUUCCACCCAACUGCCUUAGCUGAUGAAGGCCUUCCCAUCAAACCAACCAAAAGUCGAGAAAAUGCAUUUCUGAUCACUGAAGCCGUCAGGGGAGAUGGAGGCAUUCCUUACAACUUGGGCAUGGAACGGUUCAUGCCCCUGUAUGAUGAAAGAGCUGAGCUUGCUCCUAGAGAUGUGGUGGCAAGAGGCAUAGAUGACCAGCUUAAGCAGCGCAAUGAGAAGUUGUUGGGUGUUGCUAGAUGAGCUAAAUCUUGCUCCACAAUCUGUUU